RNAcentral lists this non-coding RNA (24 nucleotides) under Arabidopsis thaliana (thale cress). The record is from RNAcentral. Lineage: Eukaryota; Viridiplantae; Streptophyta; Magnoliopsida; Brassicales; Brassicaceae.
AUUGAUUGUAUCUUCGUGGAGAUA